This 468-nucleotide ribosomal RNA is filed under the name uncultured bacterium. RNAcentral describes it as "partial 16S ribosomal RNA". It matches the Rfam family "Bacterial small subunit ribosomal RNA", at positions 28 to 507 of the family's 1533-position model. The record is from RNAcentral.
GACGAACGCUGGCGGCGUGCUUAACACAUGCAAGUCGAACGGAAAGGCCCUGCUUUUGUGGGGUGCUCGAGUGGCGAACGGGUGAGUAACACGUGAGUAACCUGCCCUUGACUUUGGGAUAACUUCAGGAAACUGGGGCUAAUACCGGAUAGGAGCUCCUGCUGCAUGGUGGGGGUUGGAAAGUUUCGGCGGUUGGGGAUGGACUAGCGGCUUAUCAGCUUGUUGGUGGGGUAGUGGCUUACCAAGGCUUUGACGGGUAGCCGGCCGGAGAGGGUGACCGGCUACAGUGGGACUGAGAAACGGCCCAGACUGGUACGGGAGGCAGCAGUAGAGAAUAUUGCACAAUGGACGGAAGCCUGAUGCAGCAACGCCGCGUGCGGGAUGACGGCCUUCGGGUUGUAAACCGCUUUCGCCUGUGACGAAGCGUGAGUGACGGUAAUGGAUAAAGAAGCACCGGCUAACUACGUG